Molecule: ribosomal RNA, 814 nt
Filed under: Osteocephalus fuscifacies
Lineage: Eukaryota; Metazoa; Chordata; Amphibia; Anura; Hylidae
Description: partial 12S ribosomal RNA
Rfam family: Bacterial small subunit ribosomal RNA
Source: RNAcentral
AAAAUGGCCCUUAAAUCCCUACUAGGAGUAAGGAGCUGGUAUCAGGCACAACUCUUAGCCCAAGACACCUAGCCACGCCACACCCACACGGGAAUUCAGCAGUAAUUAACAUUGAUAAUAAGCGACAGCUUGACUCAGUUAAAGUAAAAAGAGCCGGCUAAUUAGGUGCCAGCCGCCGCGGUUACACCAUGAGGCUCAAAUUGAUUACCUUCGGCGUAAAGCGUGUUUAAAGUCAUUAACAAAUUAUAGCUAAACUAAAACUAAGCUGUAACAUGCUUGUAUCUAGGAAAACCAAAACGAAAGUUGCUAUAAUUAAAACAACUUGAAUCCACAACAGUUAGGACACAAACUGGGAUUAGAUACCCCACUAUGCCUAACCGCAAACUUUAAAUUACACCCCUCAUCGCCCGGGAACUACGAGCAAAGCUUAAAACCCAAAGGACUUGACGGUACCCCACAUCCACCUAGAGGAGCCUGUCCUACAAUCGAUAAUCCCCGUUUAACCUCACCAUUUUUAGCCUCUCAGCCUGUAUACUUCCGUCGUCAGCUUACCCCGUGAGUGAUUCUCAGUCAGCUCAAUGCCCAUAUACCAAUACGCCAACACGUCAGGUCAAGGUGCAGCAAAUAAAGUGGAAAGAGAUGGGCUACACUCUCUAUUUUAGAAAAUACAGAAGACUAUUUAUGAAACCUAGUCAGAAGGCGGAUUUAGCAGUAAAAAGAGACAAGAGUGCUCUUUUUAACACGGCACUGGGGUGUGUACACACCGCCCGUCACUCUCUUCAAAGCUAAUAUAUAGUCCUUGACACACUUAAGC